RNA transcript from Dermacentor andersoni, 9828 nucleotides. RefSeq lists it as uncharacterized. The record is from RefSeq and is a predicted model, not a curated record. Lineage: Eukaryota; Metazoa; Arthropoda; Arachnida; Ixodida; Ixodidae.
UCAGCCGAUGGUAGUUUGUAGCUUGGCUUCCGCUAUAGCUGUAGUGCCGCGCUGCCGCUGAAGAAAACAAGAGAAAUCGAGACCACUCCAACACGCACAGAGUUUUUAAGCGACAGCGGCGUGAAACGCUAGAACUAAGGCAAUCCGAGGAUGUAGGUAUAGUCCCCUAGAGCGCAACAUUGUCGAAACCUCGUUGUCGUCCUCUCUCUCUCUCUUUCUAAUUAAGAGGGAAAAAAAAGAACAACACAAAGAAAGGGGGAGAGAGACACGCACGUCUUCGAACGGAACCGCACCUUCCUGACGAACCCGAACGACCAAGAAGAGCAGCUGGAGAAGACCGACAUUCCGGAGGAGAGAUAAAAAAUAGACGCACCGGAGGCGCAGUCGAGCGAGCGCGAGACUUUUGCUGUCACAGCGUUGGACGCGCAACGCCCGUCAGCGAGGCCGGCCAACCGGAGAAAGCGCACGUGGACGCGACCGCGCACCAGCAGCGGACGACGCAGGCCCGCCGAACCGUUGCCGCAGGGUGUUCGAGCACUGCCGAUGACUGCCUAACGCUGCGGCUGGCACGGCGGGAUGGCGCUCCUGUACCGCUUCACCCGACUCAACGACCGCUCCAACACGGGAGUGUUCACUUUCAUCGCCACGCGGUCCGUCACACGAGACCUGCACCGGGACGCCACCACCAAAGACUUUCCCUUCGCCUACCACCGAUGGGCCGUCUCCUUUGUCCGCACGGACAAGGUGCUUGGAGUGUUGCUCCGCAUUCGGAACGCUGCUCCAGGGUGGAAGUGCUACCUGGAUUUCACAUUCACCUUGCUCAAUCGCGAGCACUUCUCGAAGAACGAAGCCCUCUCCGAAAAGCAGGUUCGCUUCACGGCGGAAGAGUCGACGCAUGGGGCUGCCCGUUGGAUCCUCAUCUCAGACCUACAGUCGCGGCGCUUCUCGGACGAGACGGGCGAGUUCCUGCUGGAGCUGUCUUUGGCCAAUGCCAUGACGGUGUUCGAGACGGACAUCCGGGUGCCUCCGCAGCUGCUCAAUCACCACCACCACCAUCACCACAGGGGCAGCGGCGCGGGACAGCACAAAGACUGGGGCCCCGUCGGUUCGGCGCCCGGCACGCCAACGGGAUCCGGAGGAGCACAGACCCCAAGAAUCGAGUCGUCCUACUUUUGCUUCGGAGGUUUCGACUGGAACAUCGCGUUGCUGCCGGAUGGUUCCCCCGAGGAUGGCGACAAUGGCCGGCCCCGGGUGCUCCUCAUCAGGCACACAGGCUUCGACCACCCGUGCCGUGUGCAGUACCGAGUGGUGCUGGGUGAGGGCGACAGGCGCGUCGAUUCUGGCGUACUGGACCAGAUCUCGGACCUCUCUGGCCGCAUUCGGGGCUUUUCUCUGGGCGCUGCCGGCCCCGCUGACCUGGUGCGCCGCGGCACACUCAGGCUCCAGCUGCACAUGCUGUCCGCCAACGCCAUCUCGGAGGCCAAGGUGUCGGCGACUGCAAGCCCGCUGGCUGGUGUGGAGCCGUGCGCGCCCGCAACGGCAAACUGCUACGACCGGGACAAGCAGGCGUGGUGCGUCGAGGCUGACAUGGAGGGCGAGCGAUUACGAUUGAAGCUGUACUACGCGGAGCUGCAGCACAUCCCCGUGGGCCACCUACGCUACGUGGCCUGGAACGCGUACCUGGUGCGCCGCCAGCCGGGCUCCGGGGCGCGCGAGAGCGUGCUCGCGCUGCGCGCUCCGCACUCCAGCUACUACGUGCACGACGGCAUGGACGUCGCCGUGGUCAUGGACACCGACGUCACCGUGCGGCAGAUUCGCGAGUCAGCCGGAAUGUACUUGGACGGAGCCGGAAACCUGACUGUGCACGUGGAAUGGCUCGACUCGCAGCUCCUGUUCGGAGCCACAUACCACAAAUAUGACGACAUUGCUCGCACCCAGUGCCACCAAAUGAAACGCGAGAUAGCCGCCCUCCAGGCUGAGAACUACAACCUGGAGCGGCAGGUCUUCAGCUACCAGAAGUCCAUCUCGUACGCGAGCGCCCGGGGCCAGCCGUCCGAGGACCUGCCCGACGACUACUACGCCAGCACCGUGCGACGGCUCUCCGAGACGCAGAGCCUGUCUGAAUCCGAGUACGCCUGACGAGCCCCUGCCGCCAUCCAGAAAAGCGAGCCCGACACCGCCGCCGCCAGCGUUCGGCGUUCCGCACAAUCGCCAUCCCGCUGCCUUCAAUGCGAGCGGCACGCCUGGGCGCCGUCGCCGCCGCCCCUGCACCCGCCCAGAGCCCGGGCCAUCCGCCGCUGAGUGCGCGCUCGGACACGCCUCUUCGACGCCACCCGUUCACCCCCGCACUCUAUCCUGGGGGACCACUCAUCAUCCACCACAUCGCCCAUCACGUCCACCGUCGGCGCCUCCUGAGGGGCGACGAAACAAUGCCGAUGUCGCACUACUUGCACCGACUCAGCGUUCGCUCGUGCCCAGCUGCUCGCUGCUGCGCGAAACGUGUCAACCUGUGAGGCUUCGCUAUUGUCACCAAAAAGAAAGAAAGAACCUCUUCGGACAACUAUGGUCCUGGUUGUGAGCAACAAGCAAGGUUCAUAGAGCAUCCUCGUGGAACGGGAGGCAAUCUUUGCUUUGUGCAAGCAGUGCGACCUGGAAAUGCAUAAGCUUCGUACCUGUCCACUAUUGGAGCCUGGCGAUUUUACUCGCCAGCUCUUGCCUGUAUGAUGCCUGGAUUCCUGGUUGUCGUUUCGUGAGUCCGCAACAAAAAAAGUUUCAAGCUUUUGUGUUCACAACGGAUUCGCCGACACUAGGCUGGCGUUCAUCGAGAUUUAUCUGCAUGGAGCGUUGCAUUACGAAUUUUACGCUUCGGCUUAAUAAUUUUGUCCGCAUAGAAAGGCCGUUUGAUGUGUGUUGUUGUGACAGCGCCUCUAAUAUCACCUAACGCCUUCAACUAUAUCUGCAGUGUAAGCUUAAGAUCCCUUGGGCUCUUAACAAGGCGCUCUUGUAGCAUUGCGGGUUAAAACCUUAGCACUAAUCAUUUCAGUACGUUCCACCGUGCUGUUUGCAGACGCAAGCAGGAGUGCGGUGCCAAUAAAAUAUUCUCACUGACACUUUUUACUUGACAUCUCUGGCAAUACUAGACGUAAAGCUCGUGUCGACGUGUUAGACAAGACUUGUUCACGCACUGUGCGCCCAAUACUCUCCGGCACUCUUACACGCCACUCCUGCCACCCGCAAACCCUUGUUAUUUCACCCAUACAAUGAACGCAAGAUUCGGUUAAGGAAGUCAUGGCAGAGUCGUGCAUAGGUUUCCACUUAUUGGAAUUGACCAGUUGUUCAGGAAAAUUCUGCCUAUUUACCUAAUUGCUGCCGGCUCUCAGGGUGCGAUUUUUGUAGGACAAGUCGCAUCGCCGAAAAACUCACGCACGAUGGAGCACAGUGCUGCAAAGGCAAUGCCUUACGAACUGUUGUAUGUGCCAAGUACGAGCAUUUCGCUCUUUGUGUAUUAAACUUGAAAAAAUGGUGAUCGGAACAAACCCCGCACUAUAUAGCUAGCUACAGGAUAGCACCCGUUCUGGGAGAAGCCUGUGUAUGCCGAAUUUUGUUUUAUGUUCAUGCAUGAGGUGAUAAGAGGAGUAACUAUCGGAUGAUCAUCUAUCGAUAACUAUACUAGAGAGAAUGUGCCUCCCGUGAAUUUUAUUUCGCCCGUCUUUUUUCACCGCUGUCAAAGUCUGUCGUACGCCUUCAAGGAAGUCAGUGUUCUGUUGCUUCGCAAGAAAAGAAGAAAUGAAAAAAAAAUAAUUAUAUCUAGAAUCGCUUUGUACCAUGCACGUGCCAGAUACUUCCAGCAGUGUCGACAAACGAGGUUCUUGUAACGCAGGUUAAUGUUUAUGAAAAUACAAGGUACCAGUGUUGCGUGUGAAAAAAAAAAGCUUUGUAUAGUUUGUUUUUCUCUUUCCAGCACUCCUACAGUCAAUAUUGUGCUUCAAGCAUUUUAUGGUGUGAUGCUUUCUACAUAUUGUGAACAGAUUAAUGCAUUAGUGACGUUUACGGUAUAUGCUGUUUCUGGUUCAUAAAGUUUGAUGUCUUUGAUUUAGUUGUUGCAAGACACCGCAGAGGCCAUGAGAAGGUUCUUCGACUAAAGGUGCCCGGCUUCACAAUCGACAUACCAAAAACGUUGGACGUAUAAUACGCGAACAAUCCUGUUCUCCAGCUUUUUUUUUUUUUUUUUUUGCGCCCUUUCAUAAGUGUACAGAACAGGAUCUUAAAAGGCGUAAACAAGCUCUGGGCAAUAGGCAGUCCGGGAGCCGGGUCUCUCGUGAAGCGGUAUCAUAUGGUCCUCGGCUCCACCCCAGACAGGCUUCCUUCGCCCAAGUCCCCUUCAUAGCACACCGUUCUACACAUCGCCGUGCUCUCAAGCUCACUUUGGUCACGAACAAAAGAGUGCCUCCGCCAAUACUUCGGCGUAGCUCUCACUUGCGCAGCUGGCGAUUUUGCUGACUUUACAACGCAAUGGUGACAGCGGCGUGCGUAAUUUUUAAGUUACUCUAAAUUACCUAGCAUGCUGUUUUGGAUGCAGUUUCGAAAACUUAGGGAGAUUCAAUUUUUUUUAGAUCUUGUUAUGCUUUCUCGUCGUUGGGAGCGUAAAUGCACUUUCUUUCAGCUGUGAUGUUUCGUGCGAGUGCCUUUUAUUUCCUUUCAGCCCCUGUCGGCUGGUCUACCCAUUUUUUGGAUGAUGGCUUCUCUCAGUGACUCGGCUCGCUGGCCUGAAAAGGUUGCCGACCGAUGUUGUAAACAUUUCAACUUGAAACACUUGAUUAGGCAGAUAUGUUUUUUCACCCAUUUUCUACGGCCUCAGGGGUUUGCUUAUGAGGCAAAAUUGAGCACUGAAGACCCUUUGAAAGGGUUUAUUAUGGUCCGUCUUGACUGCUUGUGUUUGUAAAAAAACUAAAAUCUAUGUAGAUGUCUGUGAAAGUAGCGCCAUUAAUCGAGGACAAUGCACAUAAAAUGAUUCUCAUUGCUAAAGCCAUAUAAGUCCUCCUGCACCAUGGUUGAUAGGAGAGAGUAUUAUAAAUUGUUCAGCUAACCAUGAUAAAUCUCCAACUCAAUGAUGCGAAAACAUGUCUGCUUGUGAACAGCGAGAAUUUUCGAGCUAUCCAACAUAUUAAAAUAAUAUCAUAACAGAAUUGUAGAGGAUUCUAUCCGGCAUUAUAACAUUGUAUUCAUGUGUAAAAAUUCGACGUUUUAUUGCCAGUAUUACCGGUAUGGGAUGCUAUGAGACACACGCUGCGGUGUUGGGGUGAGGGGGGCUACCUUUUGGCACACAACACACCCGGUGCGUUUCGCCUGGCUUCUCCGGGGGCUUAAAGUACCUGCUUCUCUUCCGUAAACACCACAGAAUGCCUGCUUUUGUGUACGUCUUGUGUCGGCGAAUAUUGCGUCUGUGUUUGGCUAUCGUCUUGUCAGCCACUGCACGUUGAUGCGGCGUGCCCUGCGCCAUGUGCGCACACGAAAGAAAAAAAAAUUAUUCAGUAAAAUUAUAACUGUGUGGCAUGUUGUUGUGUGUAAUAAUUAUUGUAGAUGUCAUCACUUUCGGCUGGAAAGAAGUAAACGAUACACAAAUACUUGGCAGAGAUGUAGCUUUUACACGACCUCGGUGGUAUGUUGAUAGUUCACUAUAUAUCGCCUCCAGGACUUGCGAAAACGUUUUGUUUUCUUCUUGUUUCCGUGUUCGCUUGUCUCGUUCAUAUUCGUAAGCGAUUCCCAGUAACGCAAGACAUUCGGGAAGAUCGUGGCGUUAAAAACGGCGACGCUGAUGAGGGUGCCAACGGUAGCGGAGCAGUGCUCGUUCGGGUUCACUGGUUAAUGCUUUUCCGGGGGAACACGGAUGCGGCAAGGAGAGAUCUCGGACUGAGUCGGAUACCGAGCGACUCGCCCUCGCCCCCUUGUGGCGUCGCCAUUGUCGCGCUGGUUGCUUCCCUCAAGAAUUUGUGGCAGCUGUUCUGGAAUGGGUGUCUCGCGCACCAGGACAAGUCGGGUUCAUCGAGGGCGCACGACAGAAGCCAUGACAAUUACCUGGUCAAUCUCCGUAGGGCAGCCGUAAUUACUCGUCGAGCGAAAAAAAAAAAAGAGUCAAAGUCUCUUUCCUUCGGCCGAGUGCCACGGCGUGCGCUCGGCCUGUUGUUGCUCCGAACCUUGCAUGCUGAAGUGCCUCGACACCCUGUGGCGUGACGUCGAUUGUUUUUGCACUCGUGUUCCAAGUUCGGGCCGCGGGCUCCACUGUGAAACGUGGUAGAAGGAGUAGAUCUUGACGGACUCUCUCUGGGUGCAGAGAUAGCCUCGUCUGCCCUAUGCGCCUCUCCAUCAGCCAUUAUGCCACAUCCACAGCCAAGCAUUUGUCUCACAAUAUAUCUUUGCUAAUAGUAGAUUUAGCUUCAUUCUGCUGACGUACGCAGGGCCCAAUCAAACCUUUUUAUUCUGUCAAGCAUGCACUAUGUCACGUUGGCGUGGCUGUGACGGAUUGCCCUAAGGUGCUUAGUGAAGUGUAUUUUCUCAUGUGUGCCUCGUUUAUUUUCAUUUUGGUGUAUCAAACGCCCGUUUUCUCUACAUUUAAUUGGGAAAACGUUCUCCAUACUCUCAUCUUGCAUAAGUUUAUGGCCACUGUAGCAAGGUUGUAUUCCGUGCACUGUUGCAUUCCUCUUCGCGCUACACGUACACCAUCCCUCGUCGAGUUUACAGUGGUUUGCAUCAUGUCCUUAGCCCCGGCUUUAUUUGUAAUAUAGAGUGAAUGCUCUCGCCAAACAUGUUUGUGAAUUUUGUCUAGUGCACAAAAGUCGCCAUACUCUUGUACAGCAUCACCCGGACCAAAUGAAGGCAUCAAAUGCUGUACCCAAGGAACUUCACCGCGCACACUAUUGCAAAUGGGCCACCGUUAUAAAAACAGUUACUGCUGGCGAUGAGUAUUCAGGCAAGAUUGUCUACGAAAGCUUCAAAGCAGCUUGCCUCGAAGUGCCCAGUAAAUACGCGACUAAAGAACUAGCGUAAUAUUUUUGACUGGAUCUUAGUUCAAAAUCAUUUCAGUGGUCAAUUGGGCGGUGAGGAAAUGUAUUUUGCUUCGCAUCAAAGCCGCGUGAUUAGCUAGUUUUUCUCCUUGCAACAUUCUUAUUUUCUUGUAGUAUUCUUAAUAGAUAUAUGCCGUGUUGCCGACGAAAUCGUCGAUCCUACUUUUAUGCUCCAAGUAUGCGUUAAUAUACGACGGAAGGAAACAAAAGCAACAACUUCAGAGCGCAUGUUAGAAAGGCGGAAAAAAUGAUUAAAUAGCGCAUAAAAUGGCACAUAAAAAUGGUGUAUAGAGCUCACUUUUCUCUAUAAUGCAAGUUUUUUUUUCAACACUUAGGGCUGGGCUUUGAAGAGUAGCCGCACGUCAUGCUACGAAUGAUUUCGAAGAGCGGACAAAACCGCGUCAAAACUACAUCUUGCAACAGUCUCUGGGAACCUGUAAAGGAGCACGGUAGGAGGAGGAGAAAAAAAGUGUUGAAGGAAAAAAUACAUAUUUUCAUCUUGACAGCGAACGUACAUCCUCUGGUUUCUCUUUUGAAGCGCCUGACUUCCGCUGUUACGAUUGAACUCCACCCUCCUGUGCCAAAAUAUUUGCUCAGCUCGACCAAUAGUUGCCAAAAUUAACCCUUGCUAGUAUUGGUGUUGUUUAGGCUCGUGGUACACCUUUACAACAGCUCAAAAUACUAACGCUCACUCGUAGCUAUGGCGUUCGGAGGCUCUCCAAAGUCUUUGUCAAUUGUGCGCGUACCGCUCGUCAUCAAAAACAAAAGUUACCCAAAUUUUAAGCGUAAGUCUUAAUUUUCUAACAAGGUUGAUAAAUUUGACUAUUUGUUACUGUUGCUCAUCUAAUUUAGGUAUUUUGACUAUUCUUGCUGUUUAAUCAACAUAACAUGCACACCUAAAAAUAGUUUACAUCUGCCUGGCUCUGUUUCGCCGCCUCUUUUUCGGUGUGUGACAUUUCUUGCGCUUUUCACGGUAGUAAAGUCGACGGAACCACUUUUUUUUUCUUCCUCUUUUAUUAUGCAAGGAGAAAGUAGGAAAGGCCUGGUGUACUGCUCUUUGUUAAGCGGUACACCUAUAGCAGCUGUUAAAGCUAAUCGAUAAGGCUACAGUCAAAGUUUUCUACCCGCAGCUAACAAUUUCAUUCAUCAGUUUUGCAAAUGGCAGUGACGUUUAACCAUGUCAAGCUGGAAGUGUUCGUACGAUUCUCUCGAGGGCUGUGCUUCAAGAGAAUCCUGCUGUCGUCUGCACAUAUGUGGUAAUAAGUGAGAAGAGCUUCUGGGCCACAGGAAGUAGAUACUGAAACACACGUACAUUUUUUUAUGGGAUUCACCGACACAAGUGUUAUAUUCUGACUAUUCUCGUUAACUUCCGGCGGAAUGGACUUGGGACUUCAUUAUGGCAUUGUAUUUUUACUCGUUUCCAAGUUUCAUUUCAUUUUCACUUCUUCUUGCUUCCCUUUUGUUUACUCCGUUGUGACGUUUAAACUGACGCGACAUGCACUUCAUAUGUCUGUGCCUGCAGGAGGUCAGUUUCGUCUACUUUCGGAAUAUUGUAAAGGGAAUCCCAGGCGUGGUCGAUCUGCGGAAUCUAUUAUACAUUUAACCCUGUAAGGCCCAACGUAUCAUUUUUGCUACGCUGAGUCUGAUACAUGAAAAUAUUGAUUUCAAUGCAGAAAACUUAACGCAUAGCCUGUAGUAGGGUUUUUGAUACGCUGGAGGAAGUUUUCAGUUAUAAACACUUCCGCAAACCAACUAAAUAUAUAAUCCGUUACUAUACUAUUUAAGUUCCUACACUCUUAAAACAGUUGCACCCUUUGGGGUGUAUAUUUGCCUCACAACGAUAAUCGUCGUCUGUCUUGCUUGCGUCUCCUUUCUUGAAAACACUGCGCUCGCUACUUUCCUGUCGAGAAUGCUCUCUCAUGCUGAUAACGGACAUGCCGUUUGUGACUUAGAAGUACCGGGCUCGCAGCGUUAAAGAAAGGAAAUGCGGGCAAGACAGAUGAAGAGUAUUGUUGCGUGGCAAAUAUACACCCCAAAGGGUGCAACUGUUUUAAGAGCGUACUCUAGUAACAUUUCAUUAUUGUUGUAUACAUGUAUUCACCAUCGCCAGAAAUAAAGGUGAACAAGUCGUUCUGAUUUACCUUGACAUGGAACUGCGUUUGAUCAGUGCGGGACUAAAAGAUGAGUAGGGUUGCCCAGCAUGUUUUAUACCGGUACUGUCAUCUUGCCACUAGAACGUGGGCAUGGAUUUUCAUGUUUUGUUACAUGGCGCGUAUGAAAUGUGGAUUACCUAUGUGUCACUAAGGCCCAUCUUGUUUUCGAACACUUGUGUCUUUCUUGGGCUCGCUUAGCUUUGUAGGGUACCUGCAAAGUCUGUUUCUUCCUGUGCUGUUCGCCUUUGAACUUUGUAACCAACCACAUUGUGCACAUGCCCUAUGGAAUACGCAAACUUCAAGCAGCAGUUUGUGGUGAAUGUACUUUUGGUUUUAUUUCCAUGUUGUAACGGACGAGCAUUCCCAUGCUGUCAAAAGGCGGCGUUCAGCCGAUGAUGCGCGUCGCCAGCGAGACGCCUGUCCGCUGUAUUGCCUGAGAUGACGUGCAAUGUACGGUGCUCGCCGCUAUUUUUACAGCUGGGGAAUGCCUGCUGAGGUAUCCAAGUUGCGAUAACGCCGACCGCACUGAAUAUAUAUAUAUAUAUAUUACAUGACGUCACUUCUUACCCCUGCAUUGUUGAAAUAAACUGUUUCUGUUUGUCUCGUCCACACAU